UUGAACGCUGGCGGCAUGCCUUACACAUGCAAGUCGAACGGUAACAGCUCUUCGGAGGCUGACGAGUGGCGAACGGGUGAGUAAUACAUCGGAACGUGCCCGAUCGUGGGGGAUAACGGAGCGAAAGCUUUGCUAAUACCGCAUACGAUCUACGGAUGAAAGCAGGGGACCCUCGGGCCUUGCGCGAACGGAGCGGCCGAUGGCAGAUUAGGUAGUUGGUGGGAUAAAAGCUUACCAAGCCGACGAUCUGUAGCUGGUCUGAGAGGACGACCAGCCACACUGGGACUGAGACACGGCCCAGACUCCUACGGGAGGCAGCAGUGGGGAAUUUUGGACAAUGGGGGCAACCCUGAUCCAGCCAUUCCGCGUGAGUGAAGAAGGCCUUCGGGUUGUAAAGCUCUUUCAGCAGGAACGAAACGGUGGCCAUUAAUACUGGCUACUAAUGACGGUACCUGAAGAAGAAGCACCGGCUAACUACGU
Molecule: ribosomal RNA, 480 nt
Filed under: uncultured bacterium
Lineage: Bacteria
Description: bacterial SSU rRNA
Rfam family: Bacterial small subunit ribosomal RNA
Source: RNAcentral